This 433-nucleotide ribosomal RNA is filed under the name uncultured bacterium. RNAcentral's name for it is "partial 16S ribosomal RNA". It matches the Rfam family "Bacterial small subunit ribosomal RNA", at positions 29 to 507 of the family's 1533-position model. The record is from RNAcentral.
AACGAACGCUGGCGGCAUGCCUAACACAUGCAAGUCGAACGAGACCUUCGGGACUAGUGGCGCACGGGUGCGUAACGCGUGGGAACCUGCCCUUAGGUUCGGAAUAACUCUCCGACAGGGGUGCUAACACCGGAUAAUGUCUUCGGACCAAAGAUUUAUCGCCUUUGGAUGGGCCCGCGUUGGAUUAGCUAGUUGGUAGGGUAAAAGCCUACCAAGGCGACGAUCCAUAGCUGGUCUGAGAGGAUGAUCAGCCACACUGGGACUGAGACACGGCCCAGACUCCUACGGGAGGCAGCAGUGGGGAAUAUUGGACAAUGGGCGAAAGCCUGAUCCAGCAAUGCCGCGUGAGUGAUGAAGGCCUUAGGGUUGUAAAGCUCAUUUACCCGGGAUGAUAAUGACAGUACCGGGAGAAUAAGCUCCGGCUAACUCCGUG